GCAAGGGCUAUGAGAGGAAGAAGUAGGUCAGUUUCACAUCAUUCAGAGAGCAGCCGGCUGGUGAGAGGCUGUUGACGUACUGAUUGAAUACAUCCUGGAGCCGAUGCCUGAAUUGAUAGUAGGGUUGACGGUUACGCCGGAUACAGCGUAUGAGUGUUAGCACUCAUUGAGGGAAAUUCUGUGAGGAAUUUCCAAGUCAGAGGUGGUACCGCAUUUUGCCCUCUGC
This is a non-coding RNA of Sporomusa sphaeroides DSM 2875, 226 nucleotides long. The record is from Rfam. Lineage: Bacteria; Bacillati; Bacillota; Negativicutes; Selenomonadales; Sporomusaceae.